GACGAACGCUGGCGGCGUGCUUAACACAUGCAAGUCGAACGAAGAGCGAUGGAAGCUUGCUUCUAUCAAUCUUAGUGGCGAACGGGUGAGUAACGCGUAAUCAACCUGCCCUUCAGAGGGGGACAACAGUUGGAAACGACUGCUAAUACCGCAUACGAUCUAAUCUCGGCAUCGAGGAAAGAUGAAAGGUGGCCUCUAUUUAUAAGCUAUCACUGAAGGAGGGGAUUGCGUCUGAUUAGCUAGUUGGAGGGGUAACGGACCACCAAGGCGAUGAUCAGUAGCCGGUCUGAGAGGAUGAACGGCCACAUUGGGACUGAGACACGGCCCAGACUCCUACGGGAGGCAGCAGUGGGGAAUCUUCCGCAAUGGACGAAAGUCUGACGGAGCAACGCCGCGUGAGUGAUGACGGCCUUCGGGUUGUAAAGCUCUGUUAAUCGGGACGAAAGGCCUUCUUGCGAACAGUUAGAAGGAUUGACGGUACCGGAAUAGAAAGCCACGGCUAACUACGUG
RNAcentral lists this ribosomal RNA (510 nucleotides) under uncultured bacterium. Its description in RNAcentral is "partial 16S ribosomal RNA". It matches the Rfam family "Bacterial small subunit ribosomal RNA", at positions 28 to 507 of the family's 1533-position model. The record is from RNAcentral.